RNAcentral lists this ribosomal RNA (253 nucleotides) under uncultured bacterium. RNAcentral describes it as "partial 16S ribosomal RNA". It matches the Rfam family "Bacterial small subunit ribosomal RNA", at positions 524 to 776 of the family's 1533-position model. The record is from RNAcentral.
UACGGGGGGGGCAAGCGUUGUUCGGAAUUACUGGGCGUAAAGGGCGCGUAGGCGGCCUUCUAAGUCGGACGUGAAAUCCCUAGGCUCAACCUAGGAACUGCGUCUGAUACUGGAUGGCUUGAAUCCGGGAGAGGGAUGCAGAAUUCCAGGUGUAGCGGUGAAAUGCGUAGAUAUCUGGAGGAAUACCGGUGGCGAAGGCGGCAUCCUGGACCGGCAUUGACGCUGAGGAGCGAAAGCCAGGGGAGCAAACGGG